CGCUUGGAGGGUUUGAUCCUGGCUCAGGACUAGCGCUGGCGGUGUGUCUUAGACAUGCAAGUCGAGCGGGGCGCAGUGUGGUAGCAAUACCGUGCUGCGCUUAGCGGCGAACGGGUGAGUAAUACAGGGGUAACCACCCCCAAGGAGGAGAAUAACCCACCGAAAGGUGGGCUAAUACUCCAUGUGCUGACCGGGAGGCAUCUUCCGGUCAGGAAAGGUGCCGCAAGGUGCCGCCUUGGGACGGGCUCCUGGCCUAUCAGCUUGAUGGCGGGGUAAAGGCCCACCAUGGCUGAGACGGGUAGCUGGCGUGAGAGCGUGACCAGCCACAGGGGAACUGAGACACGGUCCCCACUCCUACGGGAGGCAGCAGUCUAGAAAUUUGGGCAAUGGGCGAAAGCCUGACCCAGCGACACCGCGUGGAGGAUGAAGUCCUUCGGGAUGUAAACUCCUGUCAGGGGGAACGAAGCCCGUCUUUGACGGGUGACGGUACUCCCAGAGGAAGCCCCGGCUAACUACGUGCCAGCAGCCGCGGUAAUACGUAGGGGGCGAGCGCUGUCCGGAUUCACUGGGCGUAAAGGGUGUGUAGGCGGACAGGCGGGUCGAUGGUGAAAGCCCCCGGCUCAACCGGGGAACUGCCGUCGAAACUACCUGUCUUGAGGGCAGGAGAGGGAGCUGGAACUUCCGGUGUAGCGGUAAAAUGCGUGGAUAUCGGAAGGAACGCCGAUGGCGAAGGCAGGCUCCUGGAAUGCCCCUGACGCUGAAACACGAAAGCUAGGGGAGCAAACAGGAUUAGAUACCCUGGUAGUCCUAGCCGUAAACGAUGCACACUGGGCGUGGGGCGUCUUGCCCUGUGCCGUAGCUAACGCGUUAAGUGUGCCGCCUGGGGACUACGGCCGCAAGGUUGAAACUCAAAGGAAUUGACGGGGACCCGCACAAGCGGUGGAGGAUGUGGUUUAAUUCGAUGCUACGCGAAGAACCUUACCUGGGUUUGACAUGCUGGUGGUAGCGACCCGAAAGGGAAGCGACCCGGGAUUUUCCCGGGAGCCAGCACAGGUGCUGCAUGGCUGUCGUCAGCUCGUGCCGUGAGGUGUAUGGUUAAGUCCCACAACGAGCGCAACCCCUGCCCUUAGUUGCCAGCCCGCGAGGGGGCACUCUAAGGGGACUGCCUCCGUCAAGGAGGAGGAAGGUGGGGAUGACGUCAAGUCAGCAUGGCCUUUAUGCCCAGGGCUACACACGUCCUACAGUGGCUGUUACAAUGGGUUGCGACACCGCAAGGUGGAGCCAAUCCUGAAAAGCAGCCAUGGUUCGGAUUGCAGGCUGCAACUCGCCUGCAUGAAGAUGGAAUCGCUAGUAAUCGCAGAUCAGCAUGCUGCGGUGAAUACGUUCCCGGGUCUUGUACACACCGCCCGUCACGCCAUGGGAGCCGGUAAUACCUGAAGUCUCCGUUUUAUCGGGGCCCAAGGUAGGACCGGUGACUGGGGCGAAGUCGUAACAAGGUAGCCGUACGGGAACGUGCGGCUGGAUCACCUCCUUU
RNAcentral lists this ribosomal RNA (1534 nucleotides) under bacterium. Its description in RNAcentral is "bacterial SSU rRNA". It matches the Rfam family "Bacterial small subunit ribosomal RNA". The record is from RNAcentral. RNAcentral also lists the same sequence under 1 other name.